AGGGCGCACGGUGGAUGCCUUGGCACUAGAAGCCGAUGAAGGACGUGACUAACGACGAAAUGCUUUGGGGAGCUGUAAGUGAGCAAUGAUCCAGAGAUGUCCGAAUGGGGGAACCCGGCAGGUAAUGCCUGUCACUCAUUACUGUUAAGGUAAUGUAGAGGAAGACGCAGUGAACUGAAACAUCUAAGUAGCUGUAGGAAGAGAAAGCAAAAGCGAUUGCCUUAGUAGCGGCGAGCGAAACGGCAAGAGGGCAAACCGAAGAGUUUACUCUUCGGGGUUGUAGGACUGCAACGUGGACUUAAAGAUUAUAGAAGAACUACCUGGGAAGGUAGGCCAAAGAGAGUAAUAGCCUCGUAUUCGAAAUAGUCUUUAUACCUAGCAGUAUCCUGAGUACGGCGAGACACGAGAAAUCUCGUCGGAAUCUGGGAGGACCAUCUCCCAACCCUAAAUACUCUCUAGUGACCGAUAGUGAACCAGUACCGUGAGGGAAAGGUGAAAAGCACCCCGGGAGGGGAGUGAAAUAGAACCUGAAACCGUGUGCCUACAACAAGUUCGAGCCCGUUAAUGGGUGAGAGCGUGCCUUUUGUAGAAUGAACCGGCGAGUUACGAUAUGAUGCGAGGUUAAGUUGAAGAGACGGAGCCGUAGGGAAACCGAGUCUUAAUAGGGCGCAUUAGUAUCAUGUCGUAGACCCGAAACCAUGUGACCUACCCAUGAGCAGGUUGAAGGUGAGGUAAAACUCACUGGAGGACCGAACCAGGGCACGUUGAAAAGUGCUUGGAUGACUUGUGGGUAGCGGAGAAAUUCCAAACGAACUUGGAGAUAGCUGGUUCUCUCCGAAAUAGCUUUAGGGCUAGCGUCGAUGUUAAGUCUCUUGGAGGUAGAGCACUGUUUGGGUGAGGGGUCCAUCCCGGAUUACCAAUCUCAGAUAAACUCCGAAUGCCAAUGAGAUAUAAUCGGCAGUCAGACUGCGAGUGCUAAGAUCCGUAGUCGAAAGGGAAACAGCCCAGACCACCAGCUAAGGUCCCAAAAUAUAUGUUAAGUGGAAAAGGAUGUGGGGUUGCACAGACAACUAGGAUGUUAGCUUAGAAGCAGCUAUUCAUUCAAAGAGUGCGUAAUAGCUCACUAGUCGAGUGACCCUGCGCCGAAAAUGUACCGGGGCUAAAACAUAUUACCGAAGCUGUGGAUACCUUUAUAGGUAUGGUAGGAGAGCGUUCUAUGUGCGAAGAAGGUGUACCGUGAGGAGUGCUGGAGCGCAUAGAAGUGAGAAUGCCGGUAUGAGUAGCGAAAGACAGGUGAGAAUCCUGUCCACCGUAAGACUAAGGUUUCCAGGGGAAGGCUCGUCCGCCCUGGGUUAGUCGGGACCUAAGGAGAGACCGAAAGGUGUAUCCGAUGGACAACAGGUUGAUAUUCCUGUACUAGAGUAUAUAGUGAUGGAGGGACGCAGUAGGCUAACUAAACCAGACGAUUGGAAGUGUCUGGCCAAGCAGUGAGGUGUGAUAUGAGUCAAAUGCUUAUAUCUUUAACAUUGAGCUGUGAUGGGGAGCGAAGUUUAGUAGCGAAGUUAGUGAUGUCACACUGCCGAGAAAAGCUUCUAGCGUUAAUUAUACUCUACCCGUACCGCAAACCGACACAGGUAGUCGAGGCGAGUAGCCUCAGGUGAGCGAGAGAACUCUCGUUAAGGAACUCGGCAAAAUGGCCCCGUAACUUCGGGAGAAGGGGCGCUGACUGAUGGUCAGCCGCAGUGAAUAGGCCCAAGCAACUGUUUAUCAAAAACACAGCUCUCUGCUAAAUCGUAAGAUGAUGUAUAGGGGGUGACGCCUGCCCGGUGCUGGAAGGUUAAGAGGAGUGCUUAGCGUAAGCGAAGGCAUGAAUUGAAGCCCCAGUAAACGGCGGCCGUAACUAUAACGGUCCUAAGGUAGCGAAAUUCCUUGUCGGGUAAGUUCCGACCCGCACGAAAGGCGUAAUGAUUUGGGCACUGUCUCAACGAGAGACUCGGUGAAAUUUUAGUACCUGUGAAGAUGCAGGUUACCCGCGACAGGACGGAAAGACCCCAUGGAGCUUUACUGCAGUUUGAUAUUGAGUAUCUGUACCACAUGUACAGGAUAGGUAGGAGCCUAUGACCUCGGGACGCCAGUUUCGAGUGAGGCGUUGUUGGGAUACUACCCUUGUGUUAUGGCUACUCUAACCCAGAUAGGUUAUCCCUAUCGGAGACAGUGUCUGACGGGCAGUUUGACUGGGGCGGUCGCCUCCUAAAAGGUAACGGAGGCGCCCAAAGGUUCCCUCAGAAUGGUUGGAAAUCAUUCGCAGAGUGUAAAGGUAUAAGGGAGCUUGACUGCGAGAGCUA
RNAcentral lists this ribosomal RNA (2345 nucleotides) under human gut metagenome. RNAcentral describes it as "bacterial LSU rRNA". It matches the Rfam family "Bacterial large subunit ribosomal RNA", at positions 14 to 2384 of the family's 2925-position model. The record is from RNAcentral.